Molecule: ribosomal RNA, 425 nt
Filed under: uncultured Oscillatoria sp.
Lineage: Bacteria; Bacillati; Cyanobacteriota; Cyanophyceae; Oscillatoriales; Oscillatoriaceae
Description: bacterial SSU rRNA
Rfam family: Bacterial small subunit ribosomal RNA
Source: RNAcentral
GGGGAAUCUUGCGCAAUGGGCGCAAGCCUGACGGACCAAGACCGCGUGCGGGAGGACGGCCUAUUGGUUGUAAACCGCUUUUGAUAGGGAAGAAGCUCUGACGGUACCUAUCGAAUCAGCAUCGGCUAACUCCGUGCCAGCAGCCGCGGUAAUACGGAGGAUGCAAGCGUUACAACGGAAUUAUUGGGCGUAAAGCGUCCGUAGGUGGUUGUUCAAGUCUGCUGUUAAAGCGUGCGGCUUAACCGCAUACCAGCAGUGGAAACUGGGCGACUAGAGUGCGGUAGGGGUCAGGGGAAUUCCCAGUGUAGCGGUGAAAUGCGUAGAUAUUGGGAAGAACACCAGCGGCGAAAGCGCGUGACUGGGCAUGAACUGACACUCCCGGACGAAAGCUAGGGGACCGAAUGGGAUUAGAUACCCCAGUAGUC